RNAcentral lists this ribosomal RNA (405 nucleotides) under uncultured prokaryote. RNAcentral describes it as "bacterial SSU rRNA". It matches the Rfam family "Bacterial small subunit ribosomal RNA", at positions 355 to 774 of the family's 1533-position model. The record is from RNAcentral.
UCAAGAAUCUUCCUCAAUGGGCGAAAGCCUGAAGGAGCGACGCCGCGUGCACGAAGAAGCCCUUCGGGGUGUAAAGUGCUUUUAUCAGGGACGAAUCAAUGACGGUACCUGAUGAAUAAGGGGCUGCUAACCUCGUGCCAGCAGCAGCGGUAAUACGAGGGCCCCAAGCGUUAUCCGGAUUUAUUGGGCGUAAAGCGUCCGUAGGUGGUUUAUCGCAUCUCCUGUUAAAUCCCGAGGCUCAACCUCGGGUCAGCGGGAGAGAUGGACAAACUAGAGACCGGAAGAGGCAAACGGAAUUGCUGGUGUAGGGGUUAAAUCCAUUAAUAUCAGCAAGAACACCAAAUGCGAAGGCAGUUUGCUAGGACGGUUCUGACACUCAGUGGACGAAAGCGUGGGGAGCGAAUG